This 242-nucleotide ribosomal RNA is filed under the name uncultured anaerobic ammonium-oxidizing bacterium. Its description in RNAcentral is "partial 16S ribosomal RNA". It matches the Rfam family "Bacterial small subunit ribosomal RNA", at positions 441 to 674 of the family's 1533-position model. The record is from RNAcentral.
AGUUAUGAAAUGUAGGUACGCUGAUAUCGUAUCUAUUUGACAAAGGCUCCAAAGGAAGCCACGGCUAACUCUGUGCCAGCAGCCGCGGUAAUACAGAGGUGGCAAGCGUUGUUCGGAAUUAUUGGGCGUAAAGAGCACGUAGGUGGAUUUGUAAGUCAGAUGUGAAAGCCUUCUGUUCAACGGGAGAAUUGCAUCUGAAACUACAAACCUUGAGUAUAGGAGGGGAGAGUGGAACUUCUGGU